RNAcentral lists this transfer RNA (83 nucleotides) under Schistocephalus solidus. It matches the Rfam family "tRNA". From Rfam's summary of the family: Transfer RNA (tRNA) molecules are approximately 80 nucleotides in length. Lineage: Eukaryota; Metazoa; Platyhelminthes; Cestoda; Diphyllobothriidea; Diphyllobothriidae. The record is from Rfam by way of RNAcentral.
GGCCUCAUAGCUCAGUUAGCUAGAGCUUUGGCUGUCCUAAAUCAUUCCCCUUGCUGGCGUGGGUUCAAAUCCAACUGAGGCUG